RNAcentral lists this ribosomal RNA (444 nucleotides) under uncultured Sphingobium sp. RNAcentral describes it as "bacterial SSU rRNA". It matches the Rfam family "Bacterial small subunit ribosomal RNA", at positions 337 to 798 of the family's 1533-position model. Lineage: Bacteria; Pseudomonadati; Pseudomonadota; Alphaproteobacteria; Sphingomonadales; Sphingobiaceae. The record is from RNAcentral.
UCCUACGGGGGGCUGCAGUAGGGAAUAUUGGACAAUGGGCGCAAGCCUGAUCCAGCAAUGCCGCGUGAGUGAUGAAGGCCUUAGGGUUGUAAAGCUCUUUUACCCGGGAUGAUAAUGACAGUACCGGGAGAAUAAGCUCCGGCUAACUCCGUGCCAGCAGCCGCGGUAAUACGGCGGGAGCUAGCGUUGUUCGGAAUUACUGGGCGUAAAGCGCACGUAGGCGGCUAUUCAAGUCAGAGGUGAAAGCCCGGGGCUCAACCCCGGAACUGCCUUUGAAACUAGAUAGCUUGAAUCCAGGAGAGGUGAGUGGAAUGCCGAGUGUAGAGGUGAAAUUCGUAGAUAUUCGGAAGAACACCAGUGGCGAAGGCGGCUCACUGGACUGGUAUUGACGCUGAGGUGCGAAAGCGUGGGGAGCAAACAGGAUUAGAUACCCCUGUAGUCGUU